CGGCGGACGGGUGAGUAGCGCGUGGGUAACCUGCCUCAUACAGGGGGAUAACAGUUAGAAAUGACUGCUAAUACCGCAUAAGCGCACAGGACCGCAUGGUCCGGUGUGAAAAACUCCGGUGGUAUGAGAUGGACCCGCGUCUGAUUAGCUGGUUGGCGGGGUAACGGCCCACCAAGGCGACGAUCAGUAGCCGACCUGAGAGGGUGGCCGGCCACAUUGGGACUGAGACACGGCCCAAACUCCUACGGAAGGCAGCAG
This 258-nucleotide ribosomal RNA is filed under the name uncultured bacterium. Its description in RNAcentral is "partial 16S ribosomal RNA". It matches the Rfam family "Bacterial small subunit ribosomal RNA", at positions 96 to 354 of the family's 1533-position model. The record is from RNAcentral.